AUUCGCGAACUUGAUUCCAAUCAUUGC
This 27-nucleotide small RNA is filed under the name Bombyx mori (domestic silkworm). Its description in RNAcentral is "ovarian small RNA-12693". Lineage: Eukaryota; Metazoa; Arthropoda; Insecta; Lepidoptera; Bombycidae. The record is from RNAcentral.